RNAcentral lists this ribosomal RNA (495 nucleotides) under uncultured bacterium. Its description in RNAcentral is "partial 16S ribosomal RNA". It matches the Rfam family "Bacterial small subunit ribosomal RNA", at positions 28 to 523 of the family's 1533-position model. The record is from RNAcentral.
GAUGAACGCUAGCGGGAGGCCUAACACAUGCAAGCCGAGCGGUAGAAUCUUUUCGGAGAUUUGAGAGCGGCGUACGGGUGAGGAACACGUGUGCAACCUGCCUUUAUCUGGGAGAUAGCUUUUCGAAAGGAAGAUUAAUAUCCCAUAAUAUAUUGAGUGGCAUCACUUAAUAUUGAAAGCUCCGGCGGAUAGAGAUGGGCACGCGCAAGAUUAGACAGUUGGUGAGGUAACGGCUCACCAAGUCUACGAUCUUUAGGGGGCCUGAGAGGGUGAACCCCCACACUGGUACUGAGACACGGAACAGACUCCUACGGGAGGCAGCAGUGAGGAAUAUUGGACAAUGGGUGCAAGACUGUUCCAGCCAUCCCGCGUGAAGGAUUAAGGUCCUAUGGAUUGUAAACUUCUUUUAUACAGGGAUAAACCUCUCCUCGUGAGGAGAGCUGAAGGUGCUGUAUGAAUAAGCACCGGCUAACUCCGUGCCAGCCGCCGCCGUAA